AGAACGAACGCUGGCGGCAUGCCUAACACAUGCAAGUCGAACGCUCCUGGGGCUUCGGUCUCAGGGGAGUGGCGCACGGGUGAGUAGCGCGUGGGAACCUGCCCUGUUGUGGGGGAUAACCGAGGGAAACUUCGGCUAAUACCGCAUAAGCCGGUUGUCUUGAAAGAGAUGGCCGGGAAAGAUUUAUCGCGACAGGAGGGGCCCGCGUCGGAUUAGCUAGUUGGUGGGUAACGCCCACCAAGGCAGUGAUCCGUAGCUGGUCUGAGAGGAUGAUCAGCCACACUGGGACUGAGACACGGCCCAGACUCCUACGGGAGGCAGCAGUGGGGAAUAUUGGACAAUGGGGGCAACCCUGAUCCAGCAAUGCCGCGUGAGUGAUGAAGGCCUUAGGGUUGUAAAGCUCUUUCGCCCGCGACGAUGAUGACGGUAGCGGGAGAAGAAGCCCGGCUAACUUCGUGCCAGCAGCCGC
This 469-nucleotide ribosomal RNA is filed under the name uncultured bacterium. Its description in RNAcentral is "SSU rRNA". It matches the Rfam family "Bacterial small subunit ribosomal RNA", at positions 26 to 518 of the family's 1533-position model. The record is from RNAcentral.